AUUUUGAGCAUUGCUUUGUUUAGCAUUUAGGGAAAACUCUUUCGGAGCUACUUUUAUGAUUGGAGUGCUGCUCUGUUUUUUUUUCUUUGGUUACAUGGAGGUCUUAAACAAGACCUAAAACAGCAAGAGAAAUGAGCCAAGUUACAGACCAUGCAGAGUGCGCCUAGGUCUAGAAACUUUAGGGAGGUCAUCAAGAGAAGCAGUAGCAAACUCAAAUAAGAUAAUACCAUGGUCAUGCUCCAAACCAGUCUCAGCAAGGGAAUGAGCAUUGCAGUUGUGUUAUGAGAUUCACCAAGAGGAUGGGACUCAGUGUCUCUAUGCAGAACAAGGUUUACCAGGAUUGAAGAGUACAAUUCAGUCUCAAUUUGGUAAUAUUGCAAUUCAAAGCCAUUCAGACCAAUUAAUAAGCCCCAAGCUUUAGCAUCUAACAAUUGGCCUGAAUACCUAAAUUUGCUUGGAAGAUCACCAAGGUCGCCAUUGACAAAGUGUCUGGGAAGAUCACCAAGGUCGGUAGGUCAUUUUCCAGGUCCAGGGACUAUGACACCAUGGGACCCAGUGUUAAGUAAGUCCAGUGGUCCUGACAGGGAGUUGCAGGAGUGUAAGGAGGUUGUGCAUUGCGUCACACUUCAUGAGAUUGAUGUCAUCAACAGCAAAACACAAGGAUUUCUGGCUCUCUUUACAGGAGAUACUGGUGAAAUUCAUUCAGAAGUGAGAGAACAGAUUGACACACAGGUAGCAGAGUGUAGAGGAAGGGAAGGCAGAAAUUGUGCCAGGUGUUCUCUUCAUAGAUGAGGUGCAUAUGCUUGCCAUUGAGUGCUUUUCAUUUUUCAAUAGUGCUUUGGAGAAUGAGAUGGCUCCAAUUUUAGUUAUUGCUACGAAGAGAGGGAUCACUACGAUCAGAGGCACAAACUAUAAAUCCCCCCAUGGGAUUCCAAUUGAUCCCUUGAUCGCCUGCAUAUAAUCACCGUUCAGCCUUAUACAGAGGGUGAAAUUCGCAAGAUUCUUGACAUAAGAUCCCAAGAAUAAGGAGUUGAGAUGUCUGAAGAGGCAAAGCAUUUGUUGACCUAGAUUGGUGUAGAUGCAUCCCUGAGAUAUGCCAUCCAUCUCAUAACAGCUGCUGCAUUGGCAUGCCUAAAGCGGAAGGGAAAGAUUGUUGAAGUGGAGGAUAUUAACCAUGUUUAUCUGAUGCUUGAUGGAGCAUCAGAAUCAGUACAUGUUCAACAAUGCUGAUGAAGAUGAUACCAAUGCCAUGCAAUCUUGAGAAGUCCCUCUGGACUAGAAAGACUUUGAGGUUAUUGGAGUAUGUUGCUUUAGCGGUUAUGUGCAGCAUUGAGCUUCGCUUAGGGGAAAUGGCAUUACUAGUAUGAUAUAUCCUGUGAGGGUGUUAGAAUUUGGCAAGUAGUUUUGUGGAUUUUCUUUGUGUAGAGUUGAAUCUGUAAGUUUUGUCUACAGUUGAUGUACUGAAUGGGAGACUCUGCAAAUAUGUUUACAAUGGUUUUGGGCUUCUCCCGCCCAACCAUCGCCAAUUUUGGUUAUAAUGCUCAGAUCAAGUUCCUUGCUUAUACAAGUAUCCUUUACUUGAACUUCGUAGUAAAAGUCUAAAUUGAUGUCAUACU
Rosa chinensis is the source of this 1616-nucleotide long non-coding RNA. RefSeq lists it as uncharacterized. The transcript has 2 exons. The record is from RefSeq and is a predicted model, not a curated record. NCBI's taxonomy places the organism in Eukaryota, Viridiplantae, Streptophyta, Magnoliopsida, Rosales, Rosaceae.